CAGCCGCGGGUCCGUCGGCACGGACGGACAGAGGGACAGGCAGCUCUGCCUCACUGCAAACAGCGCUGCCUUACCCCGGCACACGUGUGUGUGUGUCUGUCUGUGUGUCGGUGUCUGUGUUUACACCCGUUCCCGAGUGCACACGUAGGGAACAGGUACAUGGGAACUGUGCGUGUGAAGAAGCACCUGAAGGUACAACACAGAGACACGAGGGUGUGUAACGUAGGGAUAAGACGUGUGCAGUGUGUGCGCACACACGUACUGUGAUAUAGGCGUCUCCGCGGGAUGGAAGGUGACCCGCCAGCCGGGCCGCAGGGCCCGGGCCCCGGCCCCAACCCCCGACCCCCCGACCCCGACCCUCGACCCCCCGACCCCGCUCCCAAGGCCCCAGGAGCGGAGCAGGGGGAGCAGGGGGAGCAGGGAGAGCAGGGGGAGCAGGGGGAGCAGGGGGCCGCCGAGGAGCCGCCCAGCUCUGACACCCCCCGGGACCCCCCCGCGGGCCGUGGGGACACGCCCGUGGAGGCGGCCACCAACGCGGCCGUCGAGGGGGACCCGCCGCCCUCCUCGCCCUCGCCCCCGGCCCCGGCCCGCAAGAGAGUUCGCUUCGACUGCCCGCCGUGCCCGCCCUCCCAGCAGGAGCCCAUCUUCUACCAGCCGUAUCCAGGGCAGAGAGCGCGGCCUUUCCCUCCCCGGACCAUCCCACCUGGGGCCCUGCCCUACAACAUCGCAGGACCUGCCCAGGGACUACCUGGUGGAGGCAGUGCUGGUGACCGUCUGCUGCUGCAUGCUGACUGGGGCCAUGGCCCUCAUCUACUCCCAUGAGACCCGGGCUGCGAUCAGGCGUGGGGACAUAGACCAGGCGUUCUCAGCAUCCAGAAAGGCCUGGUGCCUCAUCCUCUUCAGCCUUCUCUUUGGGUUGUUCGUCUACAUCACUUGGGUCAUCUGCGUCCUGGCAACCCUGUACAGGCAUCGGGCACCCUGAGCCCCAGAGCCAUGGUGUGUGUGCCAGGGGCUCCUUGCAGCUCACCAUGGCCCCAGGGGGCACUGACAGGCGAAGUAGCCACAGCCCCGCUGGGACUGUCCUGGGAAAUGAGUGACCACAAAGUGUUAUCUGGGCAGAGGGGCAGCUCUGUCCUUCCUGGCGACGCGAGGAGUUGCUCCAGAGCCACGUGGGCCUUCGCCCACCCCCUCAGCCCUGCUGAGGAACCCAGACUGAAGUGAUGCCAGAGCCAGCUCUGGGCAAGGACUCAUGUUGGAGCAGUGGCACCAUGUACGGGAUCGGGCUCUGCUGUGGGAUGCUGAAUCCCAUUACCAUGGGCUGUCACUUAGAGCUGCUAAAUGUGACUCUGGAACACAGGGAGAAUCUGUAGAACUGGGGCUGGAGACAGAGCUAAUGGCUGAGGUGUAACAGAGAGACCCAGGUGUAUGGGAAGCCCUCACGAGUCAUUAAUAAUGUGGCAAGAUACAAACUCACAUAUGCAACUUCUCCAGUAAUUUUGCACACACAUACACAGACACAGACACUGUAUCACCACCUCCUUGCUGCUUCAAGGCUGAAAUAAAAUACAGCUGUAGCCAAAGCUUCUGUUUUCU
This is a long non-coding RNA of Lepidothrix coronata (blue-crowned manakin), 1593 nucleotides long. The record is from Ensembl. Lineage: Eukaryota; Metazoa; Chordata; Aves; Passeriformes; Pipridae.